CACCCUCUCCUCUUCUUCUCCUUCGCUGUCUUCUUCUCGACUUCAUGGCGACCACCGCUUUCUCCAACUCCGGAGCCAUCUCGAGCUACUCCUUCCCUCCCCCAAUCCCGAACCCUAAUUUUUUCCCCGCAAAGUUGAAUUGGUCCUCCAAAUCUCCGAGCUCUGGCCGUUCCGCAAUAGUCCGGCGUCUGAGGAGGUACUGCUCUCCGGUGCCGGAUUCUUCGUGCUCUUUGGAUCUCCCGCUGCUUCCCUUCGAAUUGGAUGAGGUUUUAAUCCCAUCUGAGUUCAAGACAUUGCAUUUAUAUGAAGCAAGGUUUCUAGCAUUGCUGGAGGAGUCAUUACAAAGAAGGAAGAAGCUUUUUGUUCACUUUGUGCUAGAUCCUGUUCUUACGAGUAGAUCUUCAGCUGGAGCAUCCUUUGCUGCUAGAUAUGGUUGUCUGGUCCUCAUAGAGAGUAUUAAACAAUUGGAGAUUGGAGCACUGGUUUCUAUUAGGGGCAUUGGUCGUGUUCGCAUUGUGAAACUGAUGCAGAUGGAACCAUACCUGAGAGGAGUGGUUGUACCAAUACUAGAUGGUGUCUCUGGUCAGAAGAGUGAAAUAGACUCAAAACUUUCGGAGUUAAGGGAGUCUCUCCAUAAUCUACAUAGUUUGCAAAUCAAACUGAAGGCAUCCAAAAAUGAACUGUUGCAAACUCGUAUAAAGAAUUCUCUGGCAUGGGCUGAAAGAGGAGUUUAUGAAGAUUGUGAUCAAGCUUUUAUUCCAAAUCUAGCUGAGCGUUUAUCUUUCGGAGCACUCCAAACUGUUUCGGGAAUGUCAGAUUCAGAAUUACUAGCUUUGCAAAGUGAAAAGCUACGAGCAAUGGAUUCAAGAGACACUUUAGAAAGAUUGUGCAAUGGAAUUAAGUUCACUAAACAAAACAUUAACAUGGUUGCAGCCAAGCUUGCUAUUCAAUCUCUGUGAAUCUAGUGUUGAUGAUGCAGGAUCCCUGCAGCCAGUUGAACAGGUACCAAGUGGUCAAAUUUCCAGCAAAAACAGGAUCAAGUCUUAUACUACACCCUCUCCCUCAUCAGGCUACUUCUUGGUUUUACCUGCCUAGUCCUCCGGCAUUUUAAGGCUGGAAGUAAAGUGAAGAUUAUCAUUAGGUGCAAAACCUGAUGCACUUCUAGAAGAGCAAGUUAAUGUGGGAGACUUGGAGUGGUUAGUUUUGUUAUUCCGUACUUUUUGAUGAAAGAAUAUUUUUUUUGCAUAGCCAAUAGUUGUUCAUUGACUUGAUUCUAAGAUAUGGUUUUACACAUUGCACAUGUAGUCAUGGUUAUGUUGAGAUUGAGGAGCAUGUUUGAUGUCCUGUUGUCCUAAUUGAUUGACAAAUCUCCUCCCAACUGCAAGAAUAUUUUUAGUUAGGCAACUAGGAGUGAAAACUUUCUAGUUGAAAAAUGAGAAUACUUUUGAUAAUUUACAUAUGAACUUUGACCUUAAGAUGUGUGAGGGAUGGUUGUAAAAGGAUUUUGAUA
This is an RNA transcript of Phoenix dactylifera (date palm), 1510 nucleotides long. It is a transcript of the gene named ATP-dependent protease La (LON) domain protein, with no coding region annotated. Lineage: Eukaryota; Viridiplantae; Streptophyta; Magnoliopsida; Arecales; Arecaceae. The record is from RefSeq and is a predicted model, not a curated record.